This 626-nucleotide ribosomal RNA is filed under the name Anguilla australis (Australian shortfin eel). RNAcentral's name for it is "partial 16S ribosomal RNA". It matches the Rfam family "Bacterial large subunit ribosomal RNA", at positions 1804 to 2613 of the family's 2925-position model. Lineage: Eukaryota; Metazoa; Chordata; Actinopteri; Anguilliformes; Anguillidae. The record is from RNAcentral.
UUAUCAAAAACAUCGCCUCUUGCUAACAAAGGAAGUACUAGAGGUCCCGCCUGCCCUGUGACCACAAAGUUUAACGGCCGCGGUAUCCUGACCGUGCGAAGGUAGCGUAAUCAUUUGUCUUUUAAAUAGAGACCUGUAUGAAUGGCAUAACGAGGGCUUAACUGUCUCCUCCCCCGAGUCAAUGAAAUUGAUCUGCCCGUGCAGAAGCGGACAUAAACACAUAAGACGAGAAGACCCUAUGGAGCUUUAGACAAAAGAUCAAACAUGUAAAGAAACCAAACUAACCAAAAGGAAUACAAAAGCCACAAAACCCAGUGUAAACUGAUCCAAAUGUCUUCGGUUGGGGCGACCAUGGGGGAAAGAAAAGCCCCCACGAGGAACAGGGACAACCCCUAAACUAAGAGAGACACCUCUAAGCAACAGAAAAUCUGACCAAAAAUGACCCAGGACACUGAUCCUGAUCAACGAACCAAGUUACCCUAGGGAUAACAGCGCAAUCCUUUCCCAGAGUCCAUAUCGACGAAAGGGUUUACGACCUCGAUGUUGGAUCAGGACAUCCUAAUGGUGCAGCCGCUAUUAAGGGUUCGUUUGUUCAACGAUUAAUAGUCCUACGUGAUCUGAGUUCA